RNAcentral lists this non-coding RNA (34 nucleotides) under Prorocentrum micans. The record is from RNAcentral. Lineage: Eukaryota; Dinophyceae; Prorocentrales; Prorocentraceae.
UUUUUUUUUUUUUUUUUUUUUUUUUUUUUUUCUG